GACGAACGCUGGCGGCGUGCUUAACACAUGCAAGUCGAACGGAAAGGCCCUGCUUUUGUGGGGUGCUCGAGUGGCGAACGGGUGAGUAACACGUGAGUAACCUGCCCCUGACUUUGGGAUAACUUCAGGAAACUGGGGCUAAUACCCGAUAGGAGCUCCUGCUGCAUGGUGGGGGUUGGAGAGUUUCGGCGGUUGGGGAUGGACUCGAGGCUUAUCAGCUUGUUGGUGGGGUAGGGACUUACCAAGGCUGUGACGGAUAGCCGGCCUGAGAGGGGGACCGGCGACAUUGGGACUGAGAUACGGCCCAGACUCCUACGGGAGGCAGCAGGGGGGAAUAUUGCACAAUGGGCGGAAGUCUGAUGCAGCAACGCCGCGUGCGGGAUGACGGCCUUCGGGUUGUAAACCGCUUUCGCCGGUGACGAAGCGUGCGUGACGGUAAUGGGUAAAGAAGCACCGGCUAACUACGUG
Molecule: ribosomal RNA, 468 nt
Filed under: uncultured bacterium
Lineage: Bacteria
Description: partial 16S ribosomal RNA
Rfam family: Bacterial small subunit ribosomal RNA
Source: RNAcentral